UCAAAACCGAUGAAGCGGAGAUCAAACGAAAACAUGUGCUUAAAGAGAGCUUAGGAUGGUGGAAUCUAAGUAGUAACAAGUUCGCAAAUGGACCGCUGAGGGCGUAGUCAAAGGUUAUGCUGAGUACUCUACGACGUGUGAUUAACGUAAUCAAUCAAGAAUAUGUUUGUAUUCUAUAAGUGUACAGGGAUUCCUGUAAAUUAAGGUGGCACCGCGGGUUAUUACUCGUCCUUGAU
Molecule: non-coding RNA, 236 nt
Filed under: Bacillota bacterium
Lineage: Bacteria; Bacillati; Bacillota
Description: Firmicutes bacterium T-box sequence
Rfam family: T-box leader
About the family: Uncharged tRNA acts as the effector for transcription antitermination of genes in the T-box leader family. T-boxes are found upstream of many aminoacyl-tRNA synthetase genes and some amino acid biosynthetic genes usually in Gram-positive bacteria.
Source: RNAcentral